GACGAACGCUGGCGGCGUGCCUAAUACAUGCAAGUAGAACGCUGAAGAGAGGAGCUUGCUCUUCUUGGAUGAGUUGCGAACGGGUGAGUAACGCGUAGGUAACCUGCCUUGUAGCGGGGGAUAACUAUUGGAAACGAUAGCUAAUACCGCAUAACAAUGGAUGACACAUGUCAUUUAUUUGAAAGGGGCAAUUGCUCCACUACAAGAUGGACCUGCGUUGUAUUAGCUAGUAGGUGAGGUAAUGGCUCACCUAGGCGACGAUACAUAGCCGACCUGAGAGGGUGAUCAGCCACACUGGGACUGAGACACGGCCCAGACUCCUACGGGAGGCAGCAGUAGGGAAUCUUCGGCAAUGGGGGCAACCCUGACCGAGCAACGCCGCGUGAGUGAAGAAGGGUUUCGGAUCGUAAAGCUCUGUUGUAAGUCAAGAACGGGUGUGAGAGUGGAAAGUUCACGCUGUGACGGUAGCUUACCAGAAAGGGACGGCUAACUACGUG
RNAcentral lists this ribosomal RNA (497 nucleotides) under uncultured bacterium. RNAcentral describes it as "partial 16S ribosomal RNA". It matches the Rfam family "Bacterial small subunit ribosomal RNA", at positions 28 to 507 of the family's 1533-position model. The record is from RNAcentral.